UUUGAAUUGUAAAACAUGUUUAUGAUUGGUUUUAUGGGAUAGGUUCUCAGAAGAAGAAUUUAGUGUAAGAGGUCUAGUCUUUGAGAUACAAAAGUAAGAAUACUUCAUCAGGGUGUGCUAGAACUAGGAUCACUGGUUGGAUUUGUUUCAAGGAUAGUGGAUUCAUCACAUUGAGCUAGGCUCCAUAGACACAAGAAAAUAAAAUUGU
This 208-nucleotide long non-coding RNA is filed under the name Gossypium raimondii (Peruvian cotton). RNAcentral's name for it is "long non-coding RNA (GRAI_LNC002934)". Lineage: Eukaryota; Viridiplantae; Streptophyta; Magnoliopsida; Malvales; Malvaceae. The record is from RNAcentral.